GGGUUGUGAGGUUAAGCGACUAAGCGUACACGGUGGAUGCCCUGGCAGUCAGAGGCGAUGAAGGACGUGCUAAUCUGCGAUAAGCGUCGGUAAGGUGAUAUGAACCGUUAUAACCGGCGAUUUCCGAAUGGGGAAACCCAGUGUGAUUCGUCACACUAUCAUUAACUGAAUCCAUAGGUUAAUGAGGCGAACCGGGGGAACUGAAACAUCUAAGUACCCCGAGGAAAAGAAAUCAACCGAGAUUCCCCCAGUAGCGGCGAGCGAACGGGGAGCAGCCCAGAGCCUGAAUCAGUGUGUGUGUUAGUGGAAGCGUCUGGAAAGGCGCGCGAUACAGGGUGACAGCCCCGUACACAAAAAUGCACAUGCUGUGAGCUCGAUGAGUAGGGCGGGACACGUGGUAUCCUGUCUGAAUAUGGGGGGACCAUCCUCCAAGGCUAAAUACUCCUGACUGACCGAUAGUGAACCAGUACCGUGAGGGAAAGGCGAAAAGAACCCCGGCGAGGGGAGUGAAAAAGAACCUGAAACCGUGUACGUACAAGCAGUGGGAGCCUCUUUAUGGGGUGACUGCGUACCUUUUGUAUAAUGGGUCAGCGACUUAUAUUCUGUAGCAAGGUUAACCGAAUAGGGGAGCCGAAGGGAAACCGAGUCUUAACUGGGCGUUAAGUUGCAGGGUAUAGACCCGAAACCCGGUGAUCUAGCCAUGGGCAGGUUGAAGGUUGGGUAACACUAACUGGAGGACCGAACCGACUAAUGUUGAAAAAUUAGCGGAUGACUUGUGGCUGGGGGUGAAAGGCCAAUCAAACCGGGAGAUAGCUGGUUCUCCCCGAAAGCUAUUUAGGUAGCGCCUCGUGAACUCAUCUCCGGGGGUAGAGCACUGUUUCGGCAAGGGGGUCAUCCCGACUUACCAACCCGAUGCAAACUGCGAAUACCGGAGAAUGUUAUCACGGGAGACACACGGCGGGUGCUAACGUCCGUCGUGAAGAGGGAAACAACCCAGACCGCCAGCUAAGGUCCCAAAGUCAUGGUUAAGUGGGAAACGAUGUGGGAAGGCCCAGACAGCCAGGAUGUUGGCUUAGAAGCAGCCAUCAUUUAAAGAAAGCGUAAUAGCUCACUGGUCGAGUCGGCCUGCGCGGAAGAUGUAACGGGGCUAAACCAUGCACCGAAGCUGCGGCAGCGACGCUGAUGCGUUGUUGGGUAGGGGAGCGUUCUGUAAGCCUGUGAAGGUGUGCUGUGAGGCAUGCUGGAGGUAUCAGAAGUGCGAAUGCUGACAUAAGUAACGAUAAAGCGGGUGAAAAGCCCGCUCGCCGGAAGACCAAGGGUUCCUGUCCAACGUUAAUCGGGGCAGGGUGAGUCGACCCCCUAAGGCGAGGCCGAAAGGCGUAGUCGAUGGGAAACAGGUUAAUAUUCCUGUACUUGGUGUUACUGCGAAGGGGGGACGGAGAAGGCUAUGUUGGCCGGGCGACGGUUGUCCCGGUUUAAGCGUGUAGGCUGGUUUUCCAGGCAAAUCCGGAAAAUCAAGGCUGAGGCGUGAUGACGAGGCACUACGGUGCUGAAGCAACAAAUGCCCUGCUUCCAGGAAAAGCCUCUAAGCAUCAGGUAACAUCAAAUCGUACCCCAAACCGACACAGGUGGUCAGGUAGAGAAUACCAAGGCGCUUGAGAGAACUCGGGUGAAGGAACUAGGCAAAAUGGUGCCGUAACUUCGGGAGAAGGCACGCUGAUAUGUAGGUGAAGUCCCUCGCGGAUGGAGCUGAAAUCAGUCGAAGAUACCAGCUGGCUGCAACUGUUUAUUAAAAACACAGCACUGUGCAAACACGAAAGUGGACGUAUACGGUGUGACGCCUGCCCGGUGCCGGAAGGUUAAUUGAUGGGGUCAGCGCAAGCGAAGCUCUUGAUCGAAGCCCCGGUAAACGGCGGCCGUAACUAUAACGGUCCUAAGGUAGCGAAAUUCCUUGUCGGGUAAGUUCCGACCUGCACGAAUGGCGUAAUGAUGGCCAGGCUGUCUCCACCCGAGACUCAGUGAAAUUGAACUCGCUGUGAAGAUGCAGUGUACCCGCGGCAAGACGGAAAGACCCCGUGAACCUUUACUAUAGCUUGACACUGAACAUUGAGCCUUGAUGUGUAGGAUAGGUGGGAGGCUUAGAAGUGUGGACGCCAGUCUGCAUGGAGCCGACCUUGAAAUACCACCCUUUAAUGUUUGAUGUUCUAACGUUGACCCGUAAUCCGGGUUGCGGACAGUGUCUGGUGGGUAGUUUGACUGGGGCGGUCUCCUCCUAAAGAGUAACGGAGGAGCACGAAGGUUGGCUAAUCCUGGUCGGACAUCAGGAGGUUAGUGCAAUGGCAUAAGCCAGCUUGACUGCGAGCGUGACGGCGCGAGCAGGUGCGAAAGCAGGUCAUAGUGAUCCGGUGGUUCUGAAUGGAAGGGCCAUCGCUCAACGGAUAAAAGGUACUCCGGGGAUAACAGGCUGAUACCGCCCAAGAGUUCAUAUCGACGGCGGUGUUUGGCACCUCGAUGUCGGCUCAUCACAUCCUGGGGCUGAAGUAGGUCCCAAGGGUAUGGCUGUUCGCCAUUUAAAGUGGUACGCGAGCUGGGUUUAGAACGUCGUGAGACAGUUCGGUCCCUAUCUGCCGUGGGCGCUGGAGAACUGAGGGGGGCUGCUCCUAGUACGAGAGGACCGGAGUGGACGCAUCACUGGUGUUCGGGUUGUCAUGCCAAUGGCACUGCCCGGUAGCUAAAUGCGGAAGAGAUAAGUGCUGAAAGCAUCUAAGCACGAAACUUGCCCCGAGAUGAGUUCUCCCUGACUCCUUGAGAGUCCUGAAGGAACGUUGAAGACGACGACGUUGAUAGGCCGGGUGUGUAAGCGCAGCGAUGCGUUGAGCUAACCGGUACUAAUGAACCGUGAGGCUUAACCUUACAACGCCGAAGCUGUU
This 2930-nucleotide ribosomal RNA is filed under the name Escherichia coli 042. RNAcentral's name for it is "23S ribosomal RNA". It matches the Rfam family "Bacterial large subunit ribosomal RNA". Lineage: Bacteria; Pseudomonadati; Pseudomonadota; Gammaproteobacteria; Enterobacterales; Enterobacteriaceae. The record is from RNAcentral.